GAUGAACGCUAGCGGGAGGCUUAACACAUGCAAGUCGAGGGGCAUCGCGGUGCAGCAAUGCACUGGCGGCGACCGGCGUACGGGUGCGUAACGCGUAUGCAACCUGCCCCGCACCGGGGGAUAGCCCGCCGAAAGGCGGAUUAAUACCCCAUGGUCCCGGGGGCCCGCAUGGGCAUCCGGGUAAAGCCUUGGCGGUGCGGGAUGGGCAUGCGUGCCAUUAGCUGGCUGGUGGGGUAACGGCCCACCAGGGCAACGAUGGCUAGGGGGUCUGAGAGGAUGGUCCCCCACACUGGUACUGAGACACGGACCAGACUCCUACGGGAGGCAGCAGUGAGGAAUAUUGGUCAAUGGGCGGAAGCCUGAACCAGCCAUGCCGCGUGCGGGAUGAAGGCCCUACGGGUUGUAAACCGCUUUUCCCCGGGAAGAAUAACCCCGAUGAGUCGGGUGAUGCCGGUACCGGGGGAAUAAGGAUCGGCUAACUCCGUG
RNAcentral lists this ribosomal RNA (486 nucleotides) under uncultured bacterium. RNAcentral's name for it is "bacterial SSU rRNA". It matches the Rfam family "Bacterial small subunit ribosomal RNA", at positions 28 to 507 of the family's 1533-position model. The record is from RNAcentral.